GAGCCAUUUUUACGCCUAAUAAGCGGAUUUUUAAGUCAACACUCUCUGUUAUUUACCUAACUGAAACAUCCCCCUUACCUAGUAAAGGAGACUAAACUUUCGUAGGUUMCUCCACUUAAAUCCGACCAAAGUACUGUAAAGGAAAUAUAUAAUUAAUUUCAAUCAAGUAGUCCUUCAACCGCGUACCUUUUGUAUCAUGGCUUAACUAGAUUUAUCUGCCCAAAUUCCGGUUUUCUCGAACCCUAAUGUGCGACCUUACUUACUUGUUUUAGCAAGCAAUUUAGAGCUAAUUGUGGCAAAAAUUUCUCUAUAAAGUAAGGAAGAAAUGAAAUUUUAUUCGCAUUAGGCGAUAGCUAGUUUCUCUUAAAAGACAUAGAAGUGUCAGAUUGUACUAAGUAGUUCUAAAUCCCACUUAAAACUAACUUUCACAAUACUUAGAUUUUCGAGGAUAAGCUCGAAAAUAAGCAAUAUAUCCGUCAUUAAUCUAAAUUUAAGCUUGAAAAUAGCUAAAAUUUAUAAAUUUGUUAUAAUUUAUAUCCAAAUUUAAGAAAUAAUACCUCUAUAUUUUUAACCAAGAGAAGUAGUCUAAAUUAAUAAAGAUUAAUUUACAUGUUAAGAUGAGUACUAAAUCCUACUAACUAUUUCUCCAAUAUUGCAUUACCUACUUUGUUUUUAGCUCACUUUUCAAAUAAAAUUUUUACAAAGGAACUCGGCAAAAUAUUUUCGCCCUGCCUGUUUAUCAAAAACAUGGCUCUUUGCAUCACCAUCUAUAAAGAGUCUGACCUGCCCGGUGAUACAUUCGUAUUCAACGGCCGCGGUACUCUGACCGUGCAAAGGUAGCAUAAUCAUUUGCCCUAUAAUUGAGGGCUAGUAUGAAAGGUUUGACAAGGGCGACCCUGUCUCUGUAAAAAUUCAUGGAACUUAUUUUUUAGAUGAAGAAAUCUAAAUGAAAUUAAUAGACAAGAAGACCCUAUCGAGCUUUAAAAUCAUUUAUGUGACCUAGGAACUAUUCUUCUAGACUUCCCUUCAUAAAAAAUUUUGGUUGGGGCGACUAAGGAACAACUAAAGCUUCUUUUAAAAUUUAACUUCGUGUAUAAAGAUCCACGCACUUCAUCGUGAUUAAAAGAAAUAGUUACCGUAGGGAUAACAGCAUAAUCUUUUUUGAGAGCCCUUAUCGAAAAAAAGGUUUGUGACCUCGAUGUUGGACUAGAAUAUCCUGAAAGGUGCAGCCGCCUUCAAGGGUUGGUCUGUUCGACCAUUAAAAUUCUACAUGAUCUGAGUUCAGACCGGCGUGAGCCAGGUCAGUUUCUAUCUUUAAUUUUUAAGUUAACUCUAGUACGAAAGGACUGAAUUAAAAUAAACUUUAUUCUGCAUGAACUUAUAUAAUUUUCUAAUUAAUUUCUUUAAAAUAAAGAUGGCAGAUUAGUGCAUUAGGUUUAAGCCCUAAACAU
RNAcentral lists this ribosomal RNA (1451 nucleotides) under Littoraria ardouiniana. RNAcentral describes it as "16S ribosomal RNA". The record is from RNAcentral. Lineage: Eukaryota; Metazoa; Mollusca; Gastropoda; Littorinimorpha; Littorinidae.